CGGGAGAUGGAUGACUUGUCAGACAAAGGCAAUAGAUUCCAACACUCUCUGAUUCGCCAGCGCACGGAGCCGGAGCCUGGGCGAGGAGGGACGGGAUUUAGGAAGUAUUUCAGAAACAGGGCUAACACGGAAAGACGUGGCUUUGACCUAAAAAGGCAACAGAAACACAGGAGAGAAGCGCCUACCUGCGGGUAGGCAUACCCGUACGAAGAGGUGACAAUUUGCUGUGAGCUCAAUUUUUGUUUCCUUAUGAGUUUAUCAUCGUGUGAAAUAUUAUUCUUUUCUUCUCUUCCUUUCUCGGUUCAUCCUCUCCCACCUCUCUGCUUAUCUGUCACAAAACAGCCCCUUUGUUUUCUAACUGGUUAAGUAAAGAAUCUCCGAGAGAUCUUUAUGAAAUAUUUUCCACCAUCUCAUAAAUCAUUUUGGCACUUCAGCUGAUGUUUUAUCUCUCUCUCUCUCUCUUUCUCCCCCUCCCUCCCUCUGCCUCUCUUUCCUCUGUGCUUGGAAAGGGUGAUUAAAAAAAUCUUUUUGACACUAUAUAUGGUUACACGCAGAGAAAGGCAGCAAUCCACGUUUCUAGAGGCUACAUCUGAAAAAGCUUAAGUAAUGCAAUUGCAGCUCAGGUAUCCAGACAACACCGCCUGAACCUUGGCUGUUCGAGUUCAUUUUUCUUUUGCUUUUUAAUGGUGAUCUGGGGUGUUUGUCUUUCUGACUAGCAGUCUGCUGCUACUACUACUGCUACUGUUAUUAUUCCUAUUCAUAUUAUUAGUACAAGUGUGCCCGUCUGCCUGGGGUUUUGGAGACAGCCAUGGGGCAUAUUUCCACCAGACACAAAGUUUGGAGGUCCCCUGAGCGCGAUGCUGGAAGCUCUGCCGUAUUUUGUCAGUGCAGCAGGGCUCUACAGACCGCCCGCGCCUCCUUUUAAGGCGAGAGGUACCUGCCUGGCUUUCUGCUGCCCCUUUGGCCUGUAGCUCCCCCCUCCUCCGCACUUCACAGCCCGCGUGUUUACACCGGCCUUUCUGCAAGUCACCGCGUCCCACUGUAACCUCAGCGCCACGCACUCCCCAGCCCACGCCGCCUCUUGACCCUGCUGCCCUUUUCCCUUCUCCUCCUACUUCCAAGGCUGCUCUUCCCCUGCCAGGCGGCUGAAGCAGCGGAUCAAAGGGGAAGCCCCCCUCCCCCCCCGCAGGCGCUCGGGCCGCUCGGGCAGGUGAAGCCGGCCGGGCUGGGGAGCGAGCCGGGGGAGGGCGCGGCGAGGCCGGGAAGCGCCCUUCCCGGGCGCGGCCUGUAGAUGGCGCUCUGCGGUUUGGUUUGCGCGCGGAUCCCGGCUGACACGGCGCAACUUCCAGCGCGGGGGAAAGUUUCGGGCGAAGCGGGUUUGAGCUUCAUCCGCCGCCACCCACUGGCCGCGGCCAGCGCCUGGGACCCGGCGGACACGCACCUGCCGGCACCGGCCGAGAGGCCCCGGGCGGCUCCCGCACAUGCAGGCGCUUCUCUCCCGCGGCAGCAACUUGGAUUUGGUACGAAACCGCUCAUUGUCCUGCCUUUAACCCCUUCUCUCCCACCGGGGGCUGCGGGCUACUAACACAGCCCUUCUCGGAGAGAGAAAAGCCGGUGGCGUCCAGUCUGCUCCAGCGGUCCUCCCCCACCCCCCGGGAUCAGCUCCAACACGGGACAAACCUGUGGCCACAAUGACACUGCCCUGGGACAGUCCCAGACCCGAGCCUCGAGGAGGAAAGACUAAUUCUGCAAUAUCAUAUCAGUCUCUAACCACUCCCCCCCUGCAGGUCCACUCCCCGGGAACUUCCUCACUGUCCUGCUCCCCCGCGCAGGCUUUACCGCGGGGAGGAUUCACUUUGUCUUGACAAAGAUGCUCCGGGGCUUUAAAACUGUUGACUGUAUGUUAAAGAGACAACAACUUUGACGAGGCGCAGAGAGGAGAGGCAGAAGAUACAUUUCUCCCUGAGCUUGCCUGGUUGUUACCGCUCGGCCCUAUGACCCUCUAGUCCCCUACCCCGCUCUUGCCCCAGCAGGAAAAAUAAAAGAGCAGACGGCAAAAUCAAAUCCGAAUGAAACGAGGAACCUGGAAGCGAUCUAGAAGGGUGGCCGCGCAGGGGUGUUGCGGGGUUGAACGAAAUCAGCUUCUGAUGUAGGUAAAUCGGGGCAAUUUUCUCAUGUGGACACGAGGGAAUUUGGUGUCUCCCCAAGAAGGAGAAGGGGGGCAAAGCUCCAGAAGAGCUCUCUAUCUCCCCCUCUUCCCCAUCCACACGCACCACGGGAUCACCUGGUGCCCCCUCGCCUCCCAGGAAGAAUUGCUUUGUCAACAGUCAAAUCCACAGACCAAUUUCUGUGCCCAAGG
Molecule: long non-coding RNA, 2359 nt
Organism: Gavialis gangeticus (Gharial)
Lineage: Eukaryota; Metazoa; Chordata; Crocodylia; Gavialidae
Exons: 2
Source: RefSeq, a predicted model, not a curated record